AGUUGGAAAGAAGACAAAUCUUAAUCAUGGUAAGAUUUGGGGUUGUGUGCUAAUAAGCAAUACUUGUUUAAAGAAUUAUCUCGUGGGUAUCCUUAAAUUAACAUUUGGAUAUCACUUCAAUAAACCAACUAACAAAUGUUGUUUGUUGGGUAGUUCAUUGUAAUCCUACACUAGGAUUUGCCUAAGAUGGAGCAAAUGAACGAGGGAUAGAACUCAAAGAAUGG
RNAcentral lists this long non-coding RNA (224 nucleotides) under Malus domestica (apple). RNAcentral's name for it is "long non-coding RNA (MDOM_LNC008312)". Lineage: Eukaryota; Viridiplantae; Streptophyta; Magnoliopsida; Rosales; Rosaceae. The record is from RNAcentral.